Molecule: ribosomal RNA, 253 nt
Filed under: uncultured bacterium
Lineage: Bacteria
Description: partial 16S ribosomal RNA
Rfam family: Bacterial small subunit ribosomal RNA
Source: RNAcentral
UACGUAGGGCGCAAGCGUUGUCCGGAAUUAUUGGGCGUAAAGAGCUCGUAGGCGGCUUGUCACGUCGGGUGUGAAAGCCCGGGGCUCAACCCCGGGCCUGCAGCCGAUACGGGCAAACUAGAAUUCGGUAGGGGAGACUGGAAUUCCUGGUGUAGCGGUGAAAUGCGCAGAUAUCAGGAGGAACACCGGUGGCGAAGGCGGGUCUCUGGGCCGAUAUUGACGCUGAGGAGCGAAAGCGUGGGGAGCAAACAGG